CUUUGGAGUACAGUGGGAUCAUGGAACUAAAAGGGUUGAGAGGUUGUUUCAGGAAAUAAGGACAGUUUGGGGGGAGGAGAGUGACACACUGACGAUGUGGAGAUCAGCUCUGCACAUCUAGUGAUUAUAGAUCAGCGGGAUGAGCCCAGGUGUCUGGUGAGGAGCCAGGAAGCCUGGGAAGUCCACAUUUCUCCCCCUUGUCCAUGCUCUGCAGUCCCACAUCAGCAUUUCAGAUCUUUGUAAAACAUCACUCAUCAGCUUUUAAAGGCAGCCUUCCGAGUACGGACAGAACUGUUGCAAGCAUUUGCUUUUAUUCCUCCGUCUCCUCAUCGGCCACACAUGCUUCAUUCUCCGUCCGGGGAGGCAGUUCGGAAGAGGGGACUCUGGACCCAGGAGGGAGGAGAACCACCGCUCUCAGGAAGUCGCUGGGUCCUAUCAAGUUGUUCAGGGCCCCUCGCCUGGCCCAGACCUCAAAGAGCCUGCAUCGAGCCUGUGCUCUUUUCUUUUUUCCCUCCUUUCUUCAUCUUCACACUGCCUAUUUGCUUGCAUCCUUAUCUCAAGGAAUUUCUGCCCACUUUUAUGCUGCUGAAUUUAUGUUUUAGACCCUCCUUUCGUCUGCUCCUCAAAUCGCCAUCAGCCCUAUCCUGAUGCCUUCCAAGCUCCACCUUGACAAAACCUGCAUUGUUUUAGUGAAGAGUAUAUAUUUAAAUUUUGGGGUGGCUUAUAACGAAAAAGACCUUAGAAUGUUUGGGUCUGUCCAAACAGAGCGGUUCAGUUAAGACUGGACUGACUAGGGGCUGACCCGGGUGGCUCAGUCGAUUGAGCCACUGACUUUUGGUUUUGACUAGGUUUCAGCUCAGGUCAUGAUCUCAGGGGACUUAGGAUCAAGCCCUGCUUUGGCCUCUGCACUCAGUGGGGAGUCUGCUUGAAGAUUCUCUGCCUCUGCCCCUCAGCCUGUUCAUGUUCUCUCUCUCUCUCUCUCUCUCUCUCUCUCCUCAAAUAAAUAAAUAAACAAACAAAUAAUUCUAUCUUUU
Molecule: long non-coding RNA, 1034 nt
Filed under: Vulpes vulpes (red fox)
Lineage: Eukaryota; Metazoa; Chordata; Mammalia; Carnivora; Canidae
Description: lncRNA (ENSVVUG00000020479.1)
Source: RNAcentral